Molecule: RNA transcript, 4732 nt
Organism: Mirounga angustirostris (Northern elephant seal)
Lineage: Eukaryota; Metazoa; Chordata; Mammalia; Carnivora; Phocidae
Gene: CNNM3
Gene name: cyclin and CBS domain divalent metal cation transport mediator 3
Exons: 9
Source: RefSeq, a predicted model, not a curated record
CGGGAGGCCGAGAGGGGGCAGCAGGCGAUGGCGGCGGCAGCGGCGGCGGGUCGUCUAGGCUGGUUGCUCGCCGCGCUGUGCCUGGGAAACGCCGCCGGGGAGGCGGCGUCGGGCCCGCGAGUGUUGGGCGUCUGUCUGGAGAAGGACGGAGCCGCGGACGCGGGGUGGGAGCGCGGAGGAGAGGUGCGGGCCGCACCGGAGGCCACCUUCCGCCUGCGCCUCUUCGGCUCCGGCUUGGCCAACAGCUCCUGGUCCUGGGUGGCCCCCGAGGGGGCGGGCUGCCCCGAGGGCGGGCCGGCCGCGUCUCCUGAGGAGGCGGCGGCCCCCACAGGCGAGUGGCGCGCACUGCUGCGCCUGCGCGCCGAGGCCGCGCGCCCGCACUCGGCGCUGCUGGCGGUGCGCGGGGAGCCGGACGGCUCGGCGGCCCGGGAGGCGGCGGCCCCAGCGGGCGAGUGGAGCGCGCUGCUGCGCCUGCGCGCCGAGGCCGUGCGCCCGCAUUCGGCGCUGCUGGCCUUGCGCGUGGAGCCAGGCGGCUCGGCAGCCGAGGAGGCGGCGCCGCCCUGGGCGCUGGGCCUGGGGGCGGCGGGGCUGCUGGCGCUGGCGGCGCUGGCGCGGGGCCUGCAGCUGAGCGCGCUGGCGCUGGCGCCCGCCGAGGUGCAGGUGCUGCGCGAGAGCGGCUCGGAGGCCGAGCGCGCGGCGGCGCGGCGCCUAGAGCCCGUGCGGCGCUGGGCCGGCUGCGCCCUGGGCGCGCUGUUGCUACUGGCCAGCCUGGCGCAGGCGGCGCUGGCGGUGCUGCUGUACCGCGCGGCCGGCCAGCGCGCCGUGCCCGCCGUGCUGGGCAGCGCGGGGCUCGUGUUCCUGGUGGGCGAGGUGGUGCCGGCUGCCGUGAGCGGGCGCUGGGCGUUGGCGCUGGCGCCGCGCGCGCUGCUGCUCAGCCGCCUGGCCGUGCUGCUGACCCUGCCGGUGGCGCUGCCCGUGGGCCAGUUGCUGGAGCUGGCGGCGCGGCCCGGGCGGCUGCGCGAGCGCGUGCUAGAGCUGGCCCGCGGUGGCGGCGACCCCUACAGCGAUCUCAGCAAGGGCGUGCUGCGCUGCCGGACCGUGGAGGACGUGCUCACGCCGCUCGAGGACUGCUUCAUGCUGGAUGCCAGCGCCGUGCUGGACUUCGGCGUCCUGGCCAGCAUCAUGCAGAGCGGCCACACGCGCAUCCCAGUGUACGAGGAGGAGCGCUCCAACAUCGUGGACAUGCUCUACCUCAAGGACUUGGCCUUCGUGGAUCCCGAAGACUGCACGCCGCUCAGCACCAUCACCCGCUUCUACAACCAUCCGCUCCACUUCGUCUUCAACGACACCAAGCUGGACGCUGUCCUGGAGGAGUUCAAACGAGGGAAGUCCCACCUGGCCAUCGUGCAGAAGGUGAACAACGAGGGUGAAGGUGACCCCUUCUACGAGGUGCUGGGCCUGGUCACCCUGGAGGACGUCAUUGAGGAGAUCAUCAAGUCUGAGAUCCUGGACGAGUCUGAGGACUACCGAGAUGCUGCUGUGCGGAAGAAGCCUGCUCCUCUGAGUGCCCCCCUCAGGCCGAAAGAGGAAUUCUCCUUGUUCAAGGUGUCUGACGAUGAACAUAAAGUGAAAAUCUCGCCUCAGCUGCUCUUGGCCACCCAGCGCUUCCUGUCCCGAGAGGUGGAUGUAUUCAGCCCCCUGCGAGUCUCCGAGAAGGUCCUGAUGCACCUGCUGAAGCAUCCCAGCGUCAACCAGGAAGUGAGGUUUGACGAGAGCAACCGUCUGGCCGCACACCAUUAUCUGUACCAGCGCAGCCAGCCAGUGGACUAUUUCAUUCUCAUCCUGCAGGGCAGGGUUGAGGUGGAGAUCGGGAAAGAGGGCCUGAAGUUUGAGAAUGGGGCCUUCACCUACUAUGGAGUGUCUGCCCUGACAGCACCAUCCUCAGUUCACCAGUCCCCGGUGUCCUCGCUCCAGUCCAUCCGCCACGACCUGCAGCCCGAGCCAGCCGACGGUGCCCGCUUGUGUGCGUACUGUCCUGACUACACCGUGAGGGCCCUCUCGGACCUGCAGCUCAUUAAGGUCACGCGGCUGCAGUACCUCAAUGCACUCCUGGCUACUCGAGCCCAGAACCUGCCACAGUCCCCGGAGAACGCAGACCUCCAGGUCAUCCCAGGCAGCCAGACCAGGCUCCUCGGUGACAAGACAGCCACGGCAGCAGCCUUCCCCAUAGACCUUUCCCUCUUUGGCACAUUUGGAAACUGCAGUUGAUAAUUGACUGUGGACUAGUGAGCAUUUUUUGUUUUCAGAAAACACCCAAGGGCCCAACCACAGCAGACCCGGCCUCCCAGCGGAGGAGAGCCCUGGGCGGAACCCAGGGGUUUAACUGCUUGCCAGGCAGCCCCAGCUCUGGGGAAUGGACAAGCACGUGGGGAACUGGAGAGCCGAGGAGUAGCUUGUCAGCCUGUCCCCAUCCCCUGCAGGCCACGUUUUAGAUGGCCCUUAUAGAUGUGGGUCCUGGGCUGUCCUCAGAACCAGACCUCAGUGCCGGGAGCCUUCAGCGGGUCCUGCCCCCCUUUAGGAAAUGGGGGUCAGUUGGGGCACAGCCCUCCAGGCCUGCUUCUGAAGGGAAUGAAAAGACACUGUCAUCUGUGGUCCCCAGGACCCAGCCUUCUCCCUGUGACAGUGCAGUGUAUUUAUACCUCUUUGGGCCAAGCCAUGAUGUGAGUGCACGAUUACUGCCUUUACGUGGCCGUGACCUGUACUCGCUUCGCUUUUAAUUUGCCAACCUGCUGCUGCUGGCGGCACUUUGAGCAAACCGGGAGCACUAGUUGGGGCUGGGGGGUUCACAUCCUUGGCCGUAGCCACAGUGAACGAUUUGGCUUCCCUUACAGUGCCGUGUUUCAGAGCACGCGCCCCAGCCUGCCCCAUGUGCCAGACCUCAAACUCGAUGACCCACCGGUAUGCGCCACUGUCCUGCUCCCUCCUGUGGAGGUCGCUUCUCUGAGCCCUGUGCUCAGAGCCCUGCGCGAGAGUUGGCCCCCAGUGGCACUGAGGAGGCCUGCUCCUUCUGCUUCUCUGCCUGUCUUGCCUAGGUGCUUCUAAUGGUAUCAUCACUUAGUGUGUUUGAAGAAGAGAGGUCACCCGUGGGAGGAAGGGCUGUGCUGCCCCUAACCCUUUCUCAGUUGCUGGAUCCCAGGGAGAGGAUCCCCUCGUUAGAUCUACUUUGUACCUUCUUCCUAGGCCUCCAUGGAGAGCUGGCUGGCUGUCAUUUGCACAGAGAGAGGCAGGGGAGGGAAGAGUUGGUUAUGGAGCAGGUAGAACCUCAUCCCCUUCCUUUAAAAAAACCAAAACCCGUCAGUUUUUCUUGUAUCUCUGAAACAUUUCAGCUCUUUGCUUUUUUGCUGUUCUUAGCUAUGGGGUUUUAGAGAAUUGGGAACAAGAAGGCAUUUAUGUUUUUCUUCUGACUUACCCAUUUUUACCUUCUACAGUUCUUCAACUAUGCAGAAACGGGCGUCCCAGACACGUAGGAUUGCAGAUUGGAUAGGGAGGGAGGAGGAUUUCUGGAACCUUUCUCAAAGGAAUUUGGGUCCCUUACCUGGGACCGGUGGGGAUGAAGGCCAAAGAACAAUGGCAUGCUUGCUUAGAAACUUCUCAAGGAAUUCUAAGAGCAAACCCGGGUGGGAAGCAUACUUUAUAAUCAUCUCUCUCCAGAACAGUGGUUCUUAACCUUGGCUGCAGGUUAGAAUCACCUGGCAAAUUGAAAAAUACUGAUACCUGAUACUUGGGGCCUCCUCUUCUGGGGAGCCUGAUUUAAUUGAUCUGGGCAUGAGGAUUUUAUUUUUUGAAACAAUUUUAAUUAAAAAAAAAAAAAAUUUUUUUUUUUUUUUUUUUUUUUUAAGUAAGCUCCACACCCAACAUGGGGCUUGAACUCCCGACCCUGAGAUCAAGAGUCGCAUGCUCUACUGAGUCAGGCAGGCUCCCCUUAAACAAUUUUAGAGUUACGUAAGAGUGAAGGGUUAUAUCCAUAUACCCUUCACCCAGCUUCCCCUAAUGUUACCAUCUUACAUAUAACCUGGUACAUCUAUCAGAACUAAAAAAAUUAACAUUGGUACAAAUCUGUUAAGUAAAUUACUGACUUUAUUUGGAUCUUAACGGUUUCUCCAGUAAUGACCUUUUUCUGUUGCAGGAUCCAACUCUGGAUACCAAGUUGCAUUUAGAGUUACUGCUUUUUUCUAAGUCUUUAUUUUGAUCCAUAGGAAGUUGCAAGCUAGAGGGACCCUUCACCCAGUUUUCCACAGUGGUUACUCGUACAUAGUUAGAACACAGUAUCAAAACCACGAAGCUGACACUGGCACAAUGUGGGUGAUCAUUCUCUGCCCUCCCAAGUAGAUCUGGGUGGCUGCCACUGCCCUCUCGACAGAGCCAUCCCACCACCAUGGGGACCUCCUUCCUGUUAGAGCCACCCCAGCCCCUCGGCCUCCAUCCCUAAUCCCUGGCAACCACUGAUCUAAGAUUUUGUCAUUUCAAGAAUCAUACAGUACGUGACCAUUUGGGAUUGGCUUUUUUCACUCAGCAGAAUAUUCCGGAGAUGCAUCCAGGUUGUUGUGUGUGUCAGUAGUUCAUUCCUUUUGAUUGCUGUGUAGUAUUCCUCGAUAUGUUCACUGUCCCGAUGAAGGACAUCUGGGUGGUUUCCAGUUUUCGGCUAUUCCAAAUAAAGCUGCUAUGAACAUUC